AGUGAACGCUGGCGGUAGGCCUAACACAUGCAAGUCGAACGGCAGCACAGUAAGAGCUUGCUCUUACGGGUGGCGAGUGGCGGACGGGUGAGGAAUACAUCGGAAUCUACUUUUUCGUGGGGGAUAACGUAGGGAAACUUACGCUAAUACCGCAUACGACCUACGGGUGAAAGCAGGGGAUCUUCGGACCUUGCGCGAUUGAAUGAGCCGAUGUCGGAUUAGCUAGUUGGCGGGGUAAAGGCCCACCAAGGCGACGAUCCGUAGCUGGUCUGAGAGGAUGAUCGCCGGCAUGAGAGCUGAGACACGGUCAAGGCGACUACGGGAGGCCGCAGUGGGGAAUAGUAGACAAUAGGCGCGAGCCUGAUCCAGCCAUACCGCGUCGGUGGAGAAGGCCUUCGGGUUGUAAAGACGUUUUGUUGGGAAAGAAAAGCAGCAGGUUAAUACGCCGCUGUUCUGACGGUACCCAAAGAAUAAGCACCGGCUAACUUCGUG
RNAcentral lists this ribosomal RNA (492 nucleotides) under uncultured bacterium. RNAcentral describes it as "partial 16S ribosomal RNA". It matches the Rfam family "Bacterial small subunit ribosomal RNA", at positions 29 to 507 of the family's 1533-position model. The record is from RNAcentral.